UUCCAGACUCCUACGGGAGGCAGCAGUGGGGAAUAUUGCACAAUGGGGGGAACCCUGAUGCAGCGACGCCGCGUGGGUGAAGAAGUAUUUCGGUAUGUAAAGCCCUAUCAGCAGGGAAGAAAAAUGACGGUACCUGACUAAGAAGCACCGGCUAAAUACGUGCCAGCAGCCGCGGUAAUACGUAUGGUGCAAGCGUUAUCCGGAUUUACUGGGUGUAAAGGGAGCGCAGGCGGCACGCUGAGCCUGAUGUGAAAACCCGCGGCCCAACCGCGGGAGUGCAUUGGGAACUGGCGGGCUGGAGUGCCGGAGGGGCAGGCGGAAUUCCUAGUGUAGCGGUGAAAUGCGUAGAUAUUAGGAGGAACACCAGUGGCGAAGGCGGCCUGCUGGACGGAGACUGACGCUGAGGCUCGAAAGCGUGGGGAGCAAACAGGAUUAGAUGCCCGCGUG
This 447-nucleotide ribosomal RNA is filed under the name uncultured bacterium. RNAcentral describes it as "bacterial SSU rRNA". It matches the Rfam family "Bacterial small subunit ribosomal RNA", at positions 329 to 792 of the family's 1533-position model. The record is from RNAcentral.